CCUACGGGAGGCAGCAGUGAGGAAUAUUGGUCAAUGGGCGCAAGCCUGAACCAGCCAAGUCGCGUGAGGGAAUAAGGCCCUGCGGGUCGUAAACCUCUUUUGCCGGGGAGCAGUGGUCCGGACGCGUCCGGACCGGGAGAGAACCCAGAGAAAAAGCAUCGGCUAACUCCGUGCCAGCAGCCGCGGUAAUACGGAGGAGGGGAGCGUUAUCCGGAUUUAUUGGGUUUAAGGGGUGCGUAGGCGGGCAUUCAGGCCGGCGGUAAAAUGGCGGGGCUCAACCGCGUCCUGCCGUUGAAACUGGGUGUCUUGAGUGGGCGAGAAGUAUGCGGAAUGCGUGGUGUAGCGGUGAAAUGCAUAGAUAUCACGCAGAACCCCGAUUGCGAAGGCAGCAUACCGGCGCCCUACUGACGCUGAGGCACGAAAGUGUGGGUAUCGAACAGGAUUAGAUACCCUAGUAGUC
RNAcentral lists this ribosomal RNA (460 nucleotides) under uncultured bacterium. RNAcentral's name for it is "partial 16S ribosomal RNA". It matches the Rfam family "Bacterial small subunit ribosomal RNA", at positions 338 to 795 of the family's 1533-position model. The record is from RNAcentral.